CUUCCUCACUAGCCCCUUGCCUAUUGUCAUUCACACAGCAAACCUUCUGGGCCAAUCCAUCUGACUGGCUGUGCAGGGGAUGGGGCAGCCUGGAUAAUUGAUGGACUCAAUCUGACCAGGCACAGGUGGCACGGAGACGGCAUACAGCAGCUUCUCGGGUUUGCCAGUGCCAUCUGUUGCCAUAAGAACAUCUGUCGUCAAGGUCACCCUGUCACCCUCUGUUAAAGUUACAGGUUUGGAACUGAAUGACGGUUUGGCAGUGAUUAAGGGUAGUUUUGCCUCUACUUUUUCUUCCAGUUUGGGCCACCAGGAGGAUGUUUCUUUCAUCAUCUCUUCCUGAUCUUCUGUUCCAAGUCUCAUAAAACAGGUAAUAUAAGCACAGACCAAAAAUUCAAGGAAAAGAGUCAUAAAUACUGAUUUUGAUGCUCUGGAUUUCAAAAUUGUUUAGGGACUCAUACUUGAAUUUAUACUCUAAAUAGAGCAAAGUCUCAAUUACUUGGCUUCAUGAGGUUCACAAAAAUUAUUUUUCUUUAUUAGCAAAGUUAGGUCCUUUUAGUGCUAGAACUCUUUAACAUGAUCACAUUAAUUUCAAGGAGACUUUUCC
RNAcentral lists this long non-coding RNA (604 nucleotides) under Felis catus (domestic cat). RNAcentral describes it as "lncRNA (ENSFCAG00000053708.1)". The record is from RNAcentral. Lineage: Eukaryota; Metazoa; Chordata; Mammalia; Carnivora; Felidae.